This is an RNA transcript of Panicum virgatum (switchgrass), 2031 nucleotides long. It is a transcript of the gene named probable anion transporter 5, chloroplastic, with no coding region annotated. The record is from RefSeq and is a predicted model, not a curated record. The transcript has 15 exons. NCBI's taxonomy places the organism in Eukaryota, Viridiplantae, Streptophyta, Magnoliopsida, Poales, Poaceae.
CCCCCACCAAAAAUUCGAAUUCCACGCCCCCCCUCGCUCCCAGCGCCCAGCCCCCAGCCAUGGCGGCGAUCCCCGCGCUGCAUCCCGAUCGCCACCUCGUCCUCCUCCUCACCGCCCGCCACCGGGCCCUCCCGCCAUGCGCGCCCCUCCUGCGGCGCCCGGGCCGGGGCCGCGGCCGCGCCGUGAGGGUGGUGCCGUCCGGCGACGGCGCGGGCGUGGGAGGCUUCGCGAGCGUCGUGGAGGUGGAGGCGCGGCCGGCCCUGGGGCCGGUGGGGGCGGAGGAACAGGGAGCGUUGGGAGGCGGGGAGGGGGAGGGGGAGGGGGAGGGGGAGGGGGAGGGGGAGGGGGAGGAGGCGGCGGGCGGGGCGGCGUUGGGGCCGAGGUGGCCGUCGUGGGAGGGGUUACCCGAGCGGUACAAGCUGAUCGGCGCCACCUCCCUCGCCUUCGCCAUCUGCAACAUGGACAAGGUUAACUUGAGUGUUGCAAUCAUUCCAAUGGCACAUCAGUAUGGUUGGAACUCAUCAACUGCUGGCUUAGUUCAGUCCUCAUUCUUUUGGGGUUUUGCAUUGAGUCAACUACCAGGAGGGUGGCUGGCAAAAUUGUUUGGCGGAAGGAAAGUGCUUGUGGCCGGUAUUGCAACAUGGUCAUUGGCAACUUCUAUUAUUCCUUUUGUAGCUGGGUUUAUGCCAGGACUUGUGUUGUCAAGGAUUCUGGUAGGCAUUGGAGAAGGUGUGUCACCAUCAUCUGCUGCAGAUUUAAUUGCAAGGUUCAUUCCCUUGGGAGAACGAUCAAGAGCAGUUUCUGUUGUUUAUGAUGGUUCAAGCUUUGGCAGUGUUUUAGGACUUCUGUUUGCCCCUCCCAUCAUUCAGAACCUUGGAUGGGAGUCCUCCUUUUACAUACUUGGCCUUCUUGGGAUUGUUUGGUGUCUAGGGUUUGAAUCUCUUAAAGAACAAAAGUUAGGUGACAAUGAAGGCACACUAAAUUUGGGUCCAUGUUCUUCUGGAUCUGAUGGCCUUAUCUCAUCAGCUGUUUCUUCAAAAUCAUCAAACUCGUCAUUGGAAGAUACGCAAAAUUCACUAAAGGAUGUGCCAUGGGGAGCAUUUUUUAAAAGCAAGGCAGUGUGGGCAAUGAUAUAUGCGCAUUUUUGUGGAAGCUGGGGGCAUUAUACAUGCUUGUCUUGGCUUCCAACAUUCUUUAGUGAAGAGCUGAACCUGAGCUUGACAGAAGCAGCAUGGGUGUCAGUCCUUCCUCCUUUGGGUUCAAUGGUCGUUACAUCUAUUGUUGCACCUUUUGCUGAUAACAUGAUAUCAAGUGGAGUUGACACCACAAAGGUACGGAAAAUAUGUCAAACAAUUUCCUUUGUGUCACCUGCAGUCUUCUUGAUGCUUUCCUCCGUGGAUCUUGGACUACCUCCCUGGGGAAUAGUUGCUUUUCUUACAACUGGCCUGGCACUCUCCAACUUCGCAUUGUCAGGGCUUUAUUGCACCCAUCAAGACAUCUCUCGUGAAUAUGCUAGCAUUCUCCUGGUUCUGCCAUGAGUGGAUUUUGUUGAUUUGUUGCCUCUGCACUCCAGGGAAUCACAACCACCGUAGGCUCUGUGCCUGGAAUUGUAGGCAUUGCACUGACAGGCUAUCUUCUGGAUUCAACUCAUUCUUGGAGUAUAUCACUCUUUGCACCAGCUAUAUUCUUCUACUUAACCGGUACAGCAGUAUGGUUAGCGUUUGCCAGCAGUGAACCCCAGGACUUUGGCAAGUCGGAACGGGAGUCAUGACGUAUGGUUUCCCCUUCAGCACAGAAGGGCUCAUUUCGAAAGGAAAUUAAUCUCCUCUUAGGCAUAAGUAUGGGGCUCUUGGGCACUUGACCGAUGUAUAUUAUGUUCCUUUGUUGUCAGUUGUCACAUAGGAGAAGACCAGUGCAUGAGGGCAAACACAUGUAGUCUGUAAAUUGCAACUGUAAAUACGGUUGUGCAUUCAAUGACAUAUAUAUAUAGGACUUAUUUAUGAUCAAUUUUCACAUUCCUAGAAUUCAACA